RNA transcript from Pteropus alecto (black flying fox), 2618 nucleotides. The record is from RefSeq and is a predicted model, not a curated record. NCBI's taxonomy places the organism in Eukaryota, Metazoa, Chordata, Mammalia, Chiroptera, Pteropodidae.
GAAAUCAAUGGGAAACAAGCCCCUGGGAGUGUCCCGCCCUGGGCUGAGAGCCACGGACCAAUGGAAAAUGGCGGCUGAGCGGUGGGGCGACCGGCUGUAGGUGGAGUCAUCCCGGGACCUGGACGGGAGCCUGGCAGGGUCAACCCCGAAAAGGGGCAAGGCGCUUGGCUAUGUGGCGCCUGGGAGGCCGUGUUGGCCUUCGCGGGUGCAUUGGCGCCGGCAGGCUACUUUGUUCCCGUUUCCAGAGUCGCGGGUCCCCGGGAGUAGAAGACGGGGACAGGUCACAGCCUUCCUCAAAGACACCCAAGAUCCCCAAGAUUUACACCAAAACAGGAGACAAAGGGUUUUCUAGCACCUUCACUGGAGAAAGGAGACCCAAAGAUGACCAAGUGUUUGAAGCCUUGGGAACUACAGAUGAAUUAAGUUCAGCCAUUGGGUUUGCUAUGGAAUUAGCUAUGGAAAAGGGCCACUCAUUUGCUGAAGAGCUUGAGAAAGUCCAGUGCUUGCUGCAGGACGUCGGCUCUGCCCUGGCAACACCGCGCUCCUCGGCCAGGGAGGCUCACUUAAGACACACCGCAUUUGAGGCGAGGCCCAUCCAGGAGCUGGAGCAGUGGAUUGACAAAUACUCCAGCCAGCUACCCCCUCUCACUGCUUUCAUUCUGCCUUCGGGAGGCAAGAGCAGCUCUGCACUGCAUUUCUGUCGGGCCGUGUGUCGCCGAGCUGAGAGACGUGUGGUGCCUCUUAUCCAGAUGGGUGAGACGGAUGCAAACGUGGCCAAGUUCUUAAACAGACUCAGCGACUAUCUCUUUACAUUAGCCAGAUAUGCAGCCUUGAAGGAAGGGAAUCAAGAAAAAAUAUACAAGAAAAAUGACCCGUCGGACCGAACCUGAGGCAUUUGGAAAUAAUGGAAAGGGGGAGCUUUGCAGACCCCUCAGUGGUGACAACAGUGAAAAGAAGAGUUUGCCCUUUGUGUACUGAUUCCUGAAGACUUCACGCAGAGGGGCUGGAAGCUGGCCUCUUGUCCAGACUCAGCUACCUUUCAGACCCCCUGCCACUUCCGUCAAAGAGCUGUGGCUGCUGAAGAAUUCUGCCCCUGCUCCCCCAGGCUCUCCUUGGUCUUAGAGGAAGUACGAAUGAAUUCAGUAUUGCAGAAAGAAAGGAAGGAGCAGGAUGUCUAUAAUAAAACAACAGCCCUGCGCUCCUAGCCACGCUGAAACACUCUACAAAGGACGAGAAGUUCUUUGAGUAAAUAUAGCAUCCUAAAGUGACACUUUUUGAAACAAGGCAAUUUGCCUGUUGCCAAAUGCUGUCCCCACCAGCUCUUGCUGGGAGGGGCUGUCGCAAGCCAGAUGUUAACCCAGGUCCCCAGGCUCCCCUCUGCAUCUGCAUCUGCCUUUCACCAGCAAAGAUUCCCUGAGAGAUGGCCCAGGUACUGGGCAGACUUGGCAUCUCUGGUGUUGUGUCCCGUGCCAUCAACCUGAGAAAAACAGGAAUUCUGCUUCGGGGGCCCAGAAGAUGAGCUGGUUUGAAACGUCUGCUCUUCUGCAUUGCCUUACAAAGCCACAUUGGAGCCUGAGGCAAAAGGCAAACUAUGCACCCCAUACACACUUAGCAAGACAUCUUCCCACGUCUUCGACCGAGUCAGAAAAGUUAAUGAAAGUUCCACAAUCAAAACACAAGACUCAAUAAAGCUCCACAUUGCCCUGUUUGCACAUCACUGUCAAUCUUCAUAAAUGAUUGUCCCCAUUGCACAGUAAUGUGGAAUUGGAAAAGAAACAGCAGAUUCUUAUUUAAAGUUGUGAUACCUUGUUGAUCAUAGAUUUUUUUUGCAUAAUUUUGAUUUUUAAAAACAUUGUGUGAAAGUCCUGUUUAUCUUGAUGACUGAGACUUGCAUACAUUUUGGCAUUCUUGUACAUUCUGCACGCAAGGAAGUACCUUGCCUGCCUCACCUUAGUCCAGGUCGAGCUAUCAGAAACACAUCUGGUACCACUGCCAGAGGCGAGCUGGUGGCUGGACAUCCCAUCGGAGAGAACCUCACCAUAAUACCACCACCAGCCAGCAUCAUGCCUGGCCCCACAGACUUCAUCUUUAAACCUCACAGCAACCCUGAAGGAGGCACUCUCUAUGUGUACUCUCACUUUGCAGGUGAGGAAACUGAGGCUAGAGGAACCAUCUUGUCUCGGGGACUCAGCACCAAGAUGUGAACCCAGGAUGUGGCCUUGUGACUCCUGGCUCAGUGCUCCUCAUCUCCCCCCAGCUGCCACCUGACAGUCAUUUUAAUCACGACUUGGGCCGCCGAGAACAAUGUCAGGCGCUAAUAGAUUCUGCUGUCUCAUUUCUCAACCUAGUUUCCCUUAACUGAUAUUUCAUGGCUAUUGUUAAUGUGCAUUUUUCACCGAGUAAUUUUCACAGCCCGAACCUGUAACACAUCCCAAUGACAAACGUCCCCCGUUCUCUAGCCCCCCGUCAGCUGCAAUGUCACCCUCACCUCCUCCCCAGCACCUUCCUCCGACAGCCCAUGCAGUUUUAUGAUCGCUCUGUCCCAGUUAUCACUACUGAACCUUUAAGAAUCCAGACGCAUUUCAAGUUUAAUUGAAUAAAAUUCUUUGUAUAAUAAA